UAGGGAAUCUUCCACAACGGACGCAAGUCUGAUGGAGCAACGCCGCGUGAGUGAAGAAGGGUUUCGGCUCGUAAAGCUCUGUUGUUAAAGAAGAACGUGGGUAAGAGUAACUGUUUACCCAGUGACGGUAUUUAACCAGAAAGCCACGGCUAACUACGUGCCAG
This 164-nucleotide ribosomal RNA is filed under the name uncultured bacterium. RNAcentral's name for it is "partial 16S rRNA". It matches the Rfam family "Bacterial small subunit ribosomal RNA", at positions 355 to 511 of the family's 1533-position model. The record is from RNAcentral.